UACAUGGGGUGCAACCGUUGCUCGGAAUUAUUGGGCGUAAAGCGCGCGUAGGCGGUUACUCAAGUCGGAUGUGAAAGCCCUCGGCUUAACUGAGGAAGUGCACCCGAAACUGAGUAGCUAGAGUACUAAAGAGGGUCGCGGAAUUCCCGGUGUAGAGGUGAAAUUCGUAGAUAUCGGGAGGAACACCGGUGGGGAAGGCGGCGACCUGGGUAGAUACUGACGCUGAGGCGCGAAAGCGUGGGGAGCAAACAGG
RNAcentral lists this ribosomal RNA (253 nucleotides) under uncultured bacterium. Its description in RNAcentral is "partial 16S ribosomal RNA". It matches the Rfam family "Bacterial small subunit ribosomal RNA", at positions 524 to 776 of the family's 1533-position model. The record is from RNAcentral.